UUUUUAAAACAUGUUUUUUUGAUUAUAAUUUAAGAUUGACCCUGCCCAAUGAUUUUUAAAUGGCUGCAGUAUUUUGACUGUACAAAGGUAGCAUAAUAAAUUGUUUUUUAAUUGAAAGCUUGAAUGAAGGGGGUGAUAAGAUAUAUACUUUAUUUAAAUAAAAUUUUUAAUUUAAUUUUUUUAUAAAAAAGUAUAAAUAUUUAAAUGGGACGAGAAGACCCUAUAGAAUUUUAUAUUCGUAUAAUAUUUUUAAAUUUUAUAUUGAUUUUAAGAUUUAUAUAUAUAUUUAAUUGGGAGGAUUAUUAAAUUUAAAUAACUUUAUUUAAUUAUUAUCCAAUAAUAAUUGAUUAAAAUGAUUUUAUUUUAUUAAAUUUAAGAUUAAAUUACCUUAGGGAUAACAGCGUUAUAUUUUUGGAGAGUUCAUAUUAAUAAAAAUGUUUGCGACCUCGGUGGUA
Molecule: ribosomal RNA, 455 nt
Filed under: Pristepyris minutus
Lineage: Eukaryota; Metazoa; Arthropoda; Insecta; Hymenoptera; Bethylidae
Description: partial 16S ribosomal RNA
Source: RNAcentral